Molecule: transfer RNA, 74 nt
Filed under: Staphylothermus marinus
Lineage: Archaea; Thermoproteati; Thermoproteota; Thermoprotei; Desulfurococcales; Desulfurococcaceae
Also listed under: 1 other name
Description: tRNA-Ala
Rfam family: tRNA
About the family: Transfer RNA (tRNA) molecules are approximately 80 nucleotides in length. Their secondary structure includes four short double-helical elements and three loops (D, anti-codon, and T loops).
Source: RNAcentral
GGGCCGGUAGCUCAGCCCGGAAGAGCACCCGGUUGGCAUCCGGGAGGUCCCGGGUUCAAAUCCCGGCCGGUCCA